Alosa alosa (allis shad) is the source of this 4274-nucleotide RNA transcript. RefSeq lists it as uncharacterized. The transcript has 11 exons. NCBI's taxonomy places the organism in Eukaryota, Metazoa, Chordata, Actinopteri, Clupeiformes, Clupeidae. The record is from RefSeq and is a predicted model, not a curated record.
CCUCAGUCUUUUCUCUUCACCUGAACUUCUGCUGGAGGUCACAUCUCGUUGAAGCUGCCAGAAGAUUAUAUAAACCUUUUGGUAUGGCACAUCUAUGGUCAGUGUCACAAGUUUGUGAAUGGCUUGAAGAAGCUGGACUAGGGCAUGCCAAGGACACUUUCAUUGGUAGGUCCAGCUGAACGGACAUGAUUUUUCAGUGUACAUUUUGUCCAAUCAAAAAACCAACACACAACAAACUUUUAAAGCACCUGCAGCUUUUUCAUGAAAACCUAGAGGCGUUUUCAGUUACAUGUGGACUUGAUGGCUGCCCACUUACAUUUUCAAGAGUGAAAUCAUUACAAAACCACAUCCGCCAAAAGCACAGAAACUGUCAAGGAUUUGUGGAAGCAACAGAGACUCCUCCCAGUGGUGGAAUUGAACAGACUUCUCAAGUAUCUAUAUCAGAACUUUUAAAUGCACUAACUGAAUCACUUCAAAGACGGUUGGCAACAUUUGCUUUGUAUCUUCAGGAAAAGUAUGUUCUUCAAAAAUGUGUACAAACAGAUGUUAUUUAUGGGUUUGAAACACUGCUAAUCUUUUUCCAAAGUUGUUUCACAGAAAUAUUUGAAAAGUUCUUAGAAGAACGUGGAAUUGAUGUUAGUACUUUGCCCCUGUCUAUGUUCAGUGAGGAUCGUUUAUUUGAACAAUGUUUUAGCGCAGUGAAUACUCCCUACAAACUAGAAAAAUACUGCAUUGAAAAUCUAAAUUUGAUUGAAUCUGUUGAGUGCACUCUUAAUAUUCAAGAAGAUGGUAAAAAGGAUACUUAUCAGUAUACUCCCUUGUUAGAUACACUAAAAUUAAUACUAGGAGAGCAGUCCACUCUAGAGCACAUAAUCAAUCGGACAGUAGUUGAUGAUGGAUGUUUGGAAGAUUUCUGUGAUGGGACUAUAUUUAAGGGUUCUAAUUGGGAUAGUGGGGAUUUUUUUUUGAGACUUCACUUUUAUAAUGAUGAAUUUGAGAUUGUUAACCCAUUAGGAUCUAGAAAAACAGUGCAUAAAGUUUCUGCUUUUUACUUCACUCUGGGGAACAUUCACCCAAAAUACAGGAGUAAUUUAAAGCAUAUCCAUCUUUCAAUCCUUGUUUACCAUAGCUUGUUCAAACAGUAUGGGGCAUCCAGAAUUUUGGAGCCCCUUAUUUCUGAUGUACAGAAGUUACAAACUGAUGGCAUUGAAGUGAUAUAUGAGGGAAGACCCCUUCGCUUUAAAGGCACAAUAGUUACAGUAUCAGCAGACAACCUUUCUGCACACUCCCUUGCAGGUUUUCGUGGUUCCUUUAGCAGUGGGCGUGUUUGCAGGUAUUGUUUAUGUCACUAUAAGGACCUAUCAGAAAAAACAAAUGAAGAUGAAUGUGUUGUGCGGACACCAGAUAUACACAGUUACCACCUACAGUGUGUAGCUGAGGACCCCAAUACAAGCUCAUUAUAUGGAGUGACCGGUCCGUGUGCUUUUAGUGAGAUAGCAAACUUCAGUGUAACUAAUGCAUUUCCACCAGAUGUUAUGCACGACUUCCUUGAAGGAGUUGUUCCUCAUGUCAUAAAAUUACUUGUAAGAAGUCUUCACAGAGAAAAAAUUGUUGGUCUGCAAAAUGUUUCUGUUGCUCUGGCAGGCUUCACUUUUGGACGGAAUGAUUCUUCUAGUAAGCCUGCUCCAAUUUCUGAAAGACUUGUUUUAGAUGGUAGACUUGCAGGGAAAGCAGUUGAAAAGUGGACAUUAUUCAGGACACUUCCCUUUAUUAUUGGAGACAAAAUUCCGAAAGACAACAAGGAAUGGCAACUUUUCCUGUGCCUUAGGGAAAUUGGAGAAAUAAUAUUGGCACCUACUAUAAGUGCUAGUUGGAUCAGUUAUUUGGAGUUUUUAAUUUCCUCCUUUUUGGCAGAUUUCAGGAGGUUGUAUCCUGAUAAAAUCACUCCAAAAGUACAUUUCUUGCUUCAUUACCCUCGUCUGAUUCAGGAGUUUGGUCCACCAAGAGCACAGUGGUGCAUGCGAUACGAGGCAAAGCACCUCUACUUCAAAAAAGUUUCUGAAAGAAACUGUAAUUUCAAGAAUAUCUGUCUCUCUCUCGCUACAAGAAACCAGUUCAGGCAGUGUUGGGACUGGCUGGGCAUCAAAUUUGAGAGAGAGAAAAGCUCAGCAGUCUCGCCUUUGAAGUAUCAGGAACUUGAUAUUGCUGUUCAGGAAAAGCUCAGACUUGCUCAUGUGUCUGAAGAGGAGACAUUCUGGACCUGCUCAGAGGUCGAUAUAGACACUGUGAAAUACUCUGUUGGUGACUGUUUCAUCUUGGAUUUGUACCAGGAUGAAAUUCCUCUGUUUGUAAAGGUGACACAGAUUGUGAACGCAAGAGCAAGUUGGUUUAUUGUUGCUGAAUUCCUCACAACCUUGGCCUUUGACACCCAUCUUCAUGCUUAUCAAGUGAGCCCAACAGCAAAUCAGAUUGUGUUUAAGCCUGGUGAAGAGUUGGACUACCACAGGCUGGACUGCUAUGAACUAUCUGGCAGACAGUUUAUUACUCUUUUCCAUCGGCCGUACAAAGCAAUUGCCUAGUGGUGAGAAAAUGAAGUUGAUGACCUUACACUCACAAAAAUGACAGAACGUAUGAGUGAGAGAAUGUUUCCGAAGAUGAAGGACCAGGUUCAGUUCAUGGCUGCUCUAGAUAAAUUGAAGUUGGGAGACAGCCAUGAUGCUGAAGUGAGAGCGGAGACGCCAGUGAUGCCAGUUUCACCAGUUUCCUCUGAUGUCAUCCUCCCACCUUUUCUCAAUAGUGCUUUAAGUUCACAGGAUCCACAGUUCAAGUCUCAGGGGAAGAACAAACUGAAAAAUGCCCUCAUUCAGGCUUUGUUUGACCACCUCAGUCAAAAAACCAUGUAUCCCUCUCACACUCAAUAUGUUCUUACAUUGAGAUCAACCUUGAUUCGCUUCCCUUUUCUCAGGGAGAAAUAUGGCUCUGGAUAUGAUGCCUUGCUCGAAUCACUUAAAACAAAUUUAAGAAAGAAAGAAGACCACUAGUGAACUUGGAAGAAGUUUUCAAAAUGAAAGAGAAGUACUCGGCAUGCCAUUCAGGACGAAAGCGGGGGGUUGAGACUGAGGAGGUUUGCCUGCAGAAGAGGAGCUGCGAACAGGAGGUUUCCUUGGAUUCUGCAGAAGACUUGAGAUCCAUCCUUCAGCACAUUGAGGUUUUGCAGCAGGAGCACCAUAAGGCGAGGCCAAGUUUUGAUAUAAUUCUACAGCGGCUCGACAGAACCAAGUCCUAUCGGCAGCACUACAUUGAAAACCACACCACUGCUGAAGUCCUUAAAGAAUUUCCCUGUCUCAUGAGACCAAAUAUUCUCCUUGGAGAGAUGAAAAGAAUCUACCAGAUCGACGCUGAUAAAACCAUCCUAACAAAAAUGGGAGAACUUGCGCCAAAGUUGUUAGAAAAGGCACCUAAAGGUACUUUAAAAGACACCUGCCUGCAGACACUGCAGUCAUGUGAGGAUGAACAAGAAAGAAAAGCUCAAAUGGUCAAUGCAGCCAUUGUCUUGCUGCCAUCAUUUUUCAAAGAAAAUCCUGCAUUCCUUUUUGUCAACGACCAGGAACCCAUUUCUCCCACACCCACCAUCGUGAUGACCGGCUCCAACCCCCCCUGUCCAGCACGGAAGUAGCUGUGAAGAUGGAUGGUUGUAACAUGAUUUUAGAUGAUGGUAGCAUUGAUGUCAGUUUGGCCUUAGCUGUGUCUUUUUCUCUUUUCCAUGUCUAUCAAGUUCAUUAUCCCAAACCUCUCCGAAAGACACUGGCCUUUCUUGAGGCCUUUGUCUUUCAGAUGAAAAGUGCUGUUCCCUUCACAGAGUGUGUGUGUGUGUGUGUGUGUGUGUGUGUGUGUGUGUGUGAGAGAGAGAGAGAUUGCACCUGUGUGUCUAAAUGAUCAGUUAAUUUAAUAACAACACAGGCAUUGCUAUUUUGAUGCGUGUGUAUGUGUGUUUCUGUCUAAAUGAUCAGUUAAUUUAAUAACAACAAGACAUUGCUAUUGUGUUUGUGAGAGAGUGAUCGCACGUGUGUGUGUCUAAUUGAUCGAUUAAUUGAAUAACAACACAGACAUUGCUAUUGUGUGUGUGUGAUCACACCUUGCUUUUGCUAUUGCUAUUUUGAUUGCUGUUUUAAUCAGUUGAUUAUAACGCUUUAUAUGUGUAUGUGUGAGCGCAAUGGUAUAGUUGAUGAUCACUAAUGAACUUGUAAACAUAAAGAUUUUUAAUAAACAUAAAA